This is a non-coding RNA of Leptonychotes weddellii (Weddell seal), 1565 nucleotides long. NCBI's taxonomy places the organism in Eukaryota, Metazoa, Chordata, Mammalia, Carnivora, Phocidae. The record is from RefSeq and is a predicted model, not a curated record.
UGGGGCUGGGCCCGCCGGCGAGCCGGAAGCCAGGGAACAAGUGUGGUGGAGUGGGGCGGGGCCGAGCUAGAAAUGGGGGGCCGCGGAGCUGGGAGCCGACCCUGAGCUCAUCUUUCGUAGGGAGAGCUGAGUUCUGGGGGCGCCAGAGCCGGAGGCGGAGACGUGAAGUCAGGGCUGAGUGGGCGGAAGAGAGCCUCGGCUGAGACAUGGCCACCAAUCACCCAAGAGGACACGUGCAACUGCCCCGAGCUGAUGCCAUUCGUUCACGUCUCAUUGAUACUUUCUCUCUCAUCGAGCAUCUGCAAGGCUUGAGCCAAGCUGUGCCACGACACACUAUCCGAGAGAUAGUUGAUCCUUCCGGUCAGAAGAAGGUUAUGUUGGGAGAUCAACACCAGCUUGUGCGCUUCUCCAUAAAGCCUCGACAUGUAGAACGAAUUACACAUGGGCGGAGGCUGAUGAGCAGGCUUCGAGUGCGCUGCAGUCAGAGGCCACCUCUUUCCUUGUGGGCUGGAUGGGUCCUUGAGUGUAUCCUUUCGUGCCCCUCAUUUUUAUCCCAUGCCUUUACUGUCUCUCUUGCCUCAUCAUCUGCCUGAAGACUUAUUUUCCCAUUUCCAAACUCCAUUUUCUUCUGAUCCUCACUGGUUCUAUUCUUGCCUUUAUUAUUUCACCUGUAUUAGAAAGAAUUCCACUCCGUAUGUUUCCUUAAGAGAAAACAGGUCCUCUCUUCACAAACUUCAUCAUCUUUCUCAUCUUUUUGAAUACAAUUGUACUGAUGGUUGAAAUAGGUGAGAACUGACAUUGAAUGGAAGAGGAAGUGGCUAUGGGUCAUUUUUCCUGUAAAUUGAUCAUUUUUUUAUUUUUGACUGUUACUUGAAUUGUGAUAGGGACAAUUAUAUUAAGUCCCCCAUAGUAAGAUUUGUGCAACUGCUAAGACAUGGAAAUAUAUGGAGGGCUCUCAAGAGAGUGGUAGAUAUAAAGUAGUCUAGACACUUAUAGUGUAAUAGACUCAUGGGAAACCAAAGAUGUAAAGACCAGUUAUAUUUCUUGUGUCAGUUUAGUUUAAUAGUUGUUUAAAUUAGCCUUUUGUAUUAGAGAUAUUGGUGCCUAUUGGUGAGUGAUGCAACACUUACAUUUUUUACAAGUAUGUUAAAUAUUGAGUACAAAUAAGAAAGCUCACAAAGUAUAUAAAGCUAGAUACAACUAAAAUAUUAGAUGAGCCAAAAAAUGACUUAAAGAGUAAAUGAUUCUAAAAUCAGUCCUAAAUUAUAUGAAAUGUAUUAAAAGCAAAAAAAUCUGGAAAAUCAAUGAGCUCAUUUGAUUAUCAUCUCAAACAAACUGCUCUGAAAUGAUGAAAAGGACUUCCUUGUUUCAUCCUCAUUGUUUCGGGGAAUUUUCCUACUUUAUAAUAGUCUUUUAAUGCAAUCAGGUCAAAGAUAUUUAAAUAUACAACAAUUCUUGAUAUCACUAACCCACUACAGUAUACUAUAUACUUUGAGGUAUUUUUUUUUUAGAGAGAGAGAGAGUGUGCACACAUGUAUAGACGGGAGAGGCAGAGGGAGAGGAAG